GGUUACGGCUCAGAGGUAAAGCACUCGCCUAGCAUUCGAGAAGCACUGGGUUCAAGCCUCAGCACCA
This 67-nucleotide transfer RNA is filed under the name Marmota monax (woodchuck). RNAcentral's name for it is "tRNA.Ala". Lineage: Eukaryota; Metazoa; Chordata; Mammalia; Rodentia; Sciuridae. The record is from RNAcentral.